CAUUAAGCUGUACAUUCAGCAGAUAGAAGUGAUUUAAAGCCCAGAGGUCAGCAGGCAGGGAGGCGUUGAGAGGUGUUCAUUUGAAAUGCCACCCCGUAUCAGUCCCCUUAAGGAUGCAAUUCAGCACGUUGUUUCAAAGACAGACAAAACAUGCAGACUAGAGGUGAAAUACAUCAAUGCAGUGAAAGGACGUGGUGUAUUUGCAAAGGGUUCAAUUUGCAAAGGAGAUUUUGUUGUUGAAUAUAGAGGAGAUAUGAUAAAUGAUGCAGAAUCCCAGAGAAGAAGAAAACUUUACCACCCGUCAUGUGCUGCAUUUAUGUUUGCGUUUAAGUGGAGAGGGAAAACAUGGUGUAUUGAUGCCGCUAGAGAAGAUGGAUCAUUUGGACGGCUAGUUAAUGACGAACACCAACAUCCAAACUGUAGGAUGAAAAAAAUUGACGUGAAUGGAAAACCCCACCUUUGUUUGUUUGACUUGAAUGACAU
Molecule: long non-coding RNA, 483 nt
Organism: Pygocentrus nattereri (red-bellied piranha)
Lineage: Eukaryota; Metazoa; Chordata; Actinopteri; Characiformes; Serrasalmidae
Exons: 4
Source: RefSeq, a predicted model, not a curated record